This 5040-nucleotide long non-coding RNA is filed under the name Daphnia pulex (common water flea). RNAcentral describes it as "uncharacterized LOC124207558, transcript variant X1". The record is from RNAcentral. Lineage: Eukaryota; Metazoa; Arthropoda; Branchiopoda; Diplostraca; Daphniidae.
UUAACCUGUAUUCAAUCACGACCACUAGAUGCCAUGAUAUGUUUUUAUUUUAAUUUUUUAUACCAGCCGAUAGAGGGUUGAGGUUGAGGCAGGGAAACUCGCCAAGUAAAGCAAAGUUCCCAUUUCUUUCCAAUACGCCAAGCUGAGAGGGUAUCUGAGAGGGAGCUUUGAAUUAUCAAAGCUAAUUUUAAAUUUUUAUUGCAUAUCCCCCCCUGCCUUAAAAGAGAGCAAUGAUUCAAUCUCUGGUCGUGGUUAAAUUACAUUUAUUUUUGAUUUACAGAUCAAUAGAAAAAGAGAGAAGGAAACAGAUAGAGACACAGCAAUUUUUUUACAAACAGAGAGACACAUAAAUUUUUGAAAUUUCUUCGACUUUUAACUUUUUUUCGACUUUUCUCCUUUUCUUUCGGCAUCCAAAUUUUUCUCCAUUGACAUUCUAAUCCUCAUCCUCGCUGUCCGAGAAUAAAUCCGAGAAAGCGUUCGAAAGAUCGCUAUCUUCGUCCGAGGUGUUGUUGUUCCUCGCCUCCAAUGCCAACUUGGCCUUUUUGGCUUUCUUCUUUCGAAGACUCUUCUUUCGUUUGUGUUCACGUUCAACUGUCUUUUUUUAUACGAUAUGAUACACAUUUAGGCUUGAUUUCUUGCCGUCUUCAUAUCUAAGAUUGAAAAUGUCGAUUAGUGUAAAAUUUUUAAUCAAAACCGUUUUGACACUUACAAUACGACAGAGGCCGUCAGUUCUUCUCCCAGGCGUCCUACGUUUCCGCCCUUCGAAUCCUCUACAAUGACAGCUCCGCAACAGUCACGGUAAGUCUCUUUUUUUUACUCUAACUUUUUCUGACACUAUGAACAACAUUUGAAACAUGGAGAGCCAAGAAAGAAAAGGACCCAUUGGGAAAAUUGUAUUUGAAAAUUAACCAAUAAAGAUAAGAUAAAGAAAAUUAUGUUGCCGAACGCUCGCCUCUAGAAUAUGGGUUAAACUCACGGAGUAAGGGGUAAUGGUGGACGAGGGGUUGGAUAACACACGGGGUUGAUGGGGCCUUUGGCCAUCCUGCCGCGUCAAAGACCACGCACGGGGAAGCGAACGUCGGGCUCACAUAAUUUACUUACGGGGUAUUUAGUGCUGCUUCCGCUUCCUCCAAAACAGGGUGGACGGCUUCUAAUUUUUGCUCGGCCACGGUUUUGUCAGCCGCAAUGACGUCGACCAGCUGAUGUGCUCGAUCUUUGGCCAGCAAGACGUGAUUUUUGGUCGUUUCAGCUUCACGGGCUCUAUGCGUUUCAACUUCAACCUAAAGCGAAAAGUGAGAGUCUCUUUUUUUUAAGAGUUUCAUUGAUUCUUUGGACCGAUCGGACGUUUCAUUGAGAUUCUUGUUAGUUAUCCCACUGAGCCUGCAACGUACGGCUUGAACAGGCAGAAUCAAAAGCCUUUUGUAACAAAUAAUAAAAUACUUAGUAUCUAAGGAGUUUUAGAAACCAUUACACCAUACCUUUCAGGUAGCUUGAAACAUUCGGAAAAGUCUGCAUUGAAACGGUGUCCUGUAAUUUUUCGAUUGAAGAGAGAAGUUUUCAAUGUCAAGGCUUUUUCAAUUUGUCUAUUUGACGGACGUCAACGACGACGACGACAAACGUCAAGUUGGAGUCCGUAAAUCUAGAUGGCUAAAAAACACAAUAAUGGUCUUCAUUUUUUUUUCCUUCUACAGACUGAUAUUUUUUGACAUCUGAAUUGUUUCGACUCAUCCUCUUAAACUCUUCUCUUGAAUUUCUCUGCAUUGCUCUGCUCUGCCCCAUAGGCAUCUACUCGUCAUCCUCGUCGAGGCUACAAUCCGAGAAAGCGCUCGAAAGGUCGCUGUCCUCGUCCGAGGUGUUGUUGUUCGCCUCCAAAGCCAACUUGGCCUUUAUGGCUUUCUUGGUACGGUUGGCCUUCUUUCUUUUGCGUUCUCUUUCUUCUGGGUUUUUAAUUAAAAAAAUUAUUAAUUAAUUAUUUUUUAACUUGGUGUGGUGGGGUUCAAAUGUGGCUUUCUCUCUUGCACCAGCUAAUGCACCUAUUAGUACUUCUACAUCAGGUUUUCACUAAAGACGAAAUUAUGUAAACGAAAUGUCGUGGUUAAAUGACAUUUAUUGCAUCGAUACAUGGAAAAAGAGAGAAGGUAACAGAAAGACACAGACAUUUUUGAAACACACACACACACAUAUAUAGGCACUGUAAUAUGACAUCUGAAUUUUUCGACUCUCUUUUCUUGAAUUUCUCCUCAUUGCUUUUCUCUUCUCCAUAGGCAUUUACUCGUCGUCAUCCUCGUCGAGGCUGCAAUCAGAAAAAGCGCUCGACAGGUCGCUGUCCUCGUCCGAGUUUGCCUCCAAAGCCAACUUGGCCUUUUUGGCUUCCUUGAUUCUCCAGAAUCAACACUGGUGUCGUUUCCAGAACCAACAUCAGGAACUCCACAAGAAUCUGACUCCCCUUCAGAGGAUUCCACAACGGGGGUCACAUCUUCUUCGUCAGAUGCUUUAUCAUCUGAGGCUACUGAAGUGUUGAUGCUGGGCGAUCCGGAACUCAUCAAGGUGAAGAAAGGUGACAUAAUUCAGCUCCAGAGACGUGGAUUUUUUAUUUGUGAUUCUCCUUAUGAGCCGAUCAGGUCAAAACUUUAUAAUGCAAAAGAGAUUUCAAGCUCGGCCAUGCUAUCAUCAGUUUCUUCUUGAGAGCCUGGGUUUACCUCAUGAGUAAAAUUCUCAGCAACAAAAUCGUCACCUGCAGAAUUUUUGGUAAAAUUUUAACACUUAUGACUUACUUAUAACAUCUUAAAACUAACCAUAGUGAUAAUCCAAGUCCUCCGUUUCAUCCCCCCAAUCUUGUUGAUGGAACAAACUUUAAAUUGUUUUAAAGGUAAAUUUGGACUUACAAUCCACAUUCGUAAUAAGUGUGAGUAUGUAUUGUCAUCCAUUUUAUGGUAUUUCUAUUCCAACAAGUUUUCAAUUCAACUGAAUUCAGGAAAGAAAUCAAACAAUUCAGUUUUAGACUUAGUCAAGGCUUUUAUCGGUGAUAAUUUGUCUAUUUGACGGACUACCCCAACGUCAAGUUGGAGUCCUUAAAUCUAGAUAGCUUUGGGGUACGAAUGGGCUUCACUCUCUGUCGUCUGCAAUGUUAGCGGUGGGUUUUUAUCAUUGGAAAAAUCAUAACUUUGAACGUCAUACAUUGUUUGUGUUCUAUCACAGACUAAGGUUCUAGUUAGUUCCAUGUACACCUGAAAAGUUAAAAUUGUUCAGCUAUGGCAGAUUCAGGAAAUAAUUCUAGAGGUAAAGAAAGAGGUGGGUUUCGUGUUAGAGGCAAUAACAACUGGUCACGUAUCGUUGUCUGCAUGGCCAAUCCCCCCCCUUACUUGUCUCGUCACAUUGUUCCAUAUUUACCUGGUCGUUCUUUGUGGUCUGAUAACCUUGCUCGCAUUAUUGUCUCUCCAAACCUAAACUUGCCAACUAUGGUCAGAGAGCUUUAUCACAGGCUGCACCUCGACUGUGGAAUGAUCUUCCAGCAUUAAUCUGUCUUGUCCCUAACUUUCCCGUGUUCAAGAGUCUUCGUCUUAAGACCCACUUGUAUGCCACUGCUUAUCUCUGAUUAUUUCAUGUCCAAUUGUGUGGUGGAGAAUAGAAUAGAAUAGAAUAGCUUCCCUCUGUGACUAUCAUCUUCAACUUGUGGCUCACCAUCAUCUGUAAUUAAAGGCAAGUUUAAUGUAGAUGGCUUUUAUUUCCAUAUAAAAUUUGAUUUUCCUGAAACGGCUGCCUCUACACUCUGUGCAAACUCUGUAAAGGUACUACAUUGUUUUCAUUGAAUAAUUUUAUUGUUUUAUUGUUAGUAGUGGCACACAUAGCUACCUUCUGCCAAGUAGUGAACAAAUGUCUCGUUCAAUUUAUUUAUUUCUUAAAAUUCUGUUAAAAAUUGAAGGUUCCAAAUAAUUGUGAUUACUUUUUCGAAAUUCUCCCUCGAGUCAGACCAGUCAGAAUCGCAGAGAUUCGUCAAUGGAUGAUGUUGGCUUGAACCGGACAAGAAGAUGAAAAAUGAAUGGAUGAAGAAAAUUUUACCUGAUCGCGAUACGAUGGAAAGUAUGAAAGAAUCCCGUUAAUUCCCGUAGACGAUUAUUUUUCUGAUAUAUGGCAGGAGGAAUUUGAUUUGAGAUUUAAUGGCCAUUAACUCUAAUUAGUGUUUAUUUUUAUUAAUGAAUCAACAAACAGCUAACCCAAAUUUGUUUCAGGGUCUACAAAUGCUAUGGAAUGUAAGGAGUUUGUCUUUUGUGAAAAGGGGUUACAGGAGGGUGGGGGGUAAAAAAAUUUGGGUUACGUCAUUUAUGGAUGGUCUCUCCUGUAAUUUUUUCGGGCUAAAUAAGCUCCCAUAAUUAUAAUUAUAAAGGAUUGACAAUAAAUUUACAAUACAUUGACAAAUUCUGUUAUUAUUAAUUUAUUAAUCAGGCUACUGGAGAAAACAUUAGGAGGGAGGUAGUAAUUUGCCAAAGGGGAAAUGGUCGCUACUCCAAUUCAGUAUCAUGACUUAUGUUAACCAAAAUUCCCUGCUUGGAGUUGUAAGAAAAGGUAAUGAUUGAAUGAUGAAUCAAUUGAAUCAGUUAUAACAAUGUAAUAUUUAAAAAAAAAUUAAAAAUAAACUUAAAUUUUCUCUGGGAGCUCUGUAGAAGGGUUUGGUGUUAAGCCUGGGUAUUGGCUAUAUUUUCUUGAGGUUAUUUGCCCAAAAAUUGGUUUACCAUCAUCUUGCAAAGAUUCUAUCAAAUCAAUUUUCAUCGAUAGGGUCGAUAGGGAAAAAAUGUUAAUGCAAUUCAUCUUUAAAAAAAUAAUUAUUGCAUUUAUUCCGUUGAUAGCUUUAUAAGUCGCAUUUUUAUGUUCGUGUUCCGACUCUUGUGUGAGAGUCGCACGUGAGUUUUUAGAGGGUAUCCUCAUCAUCAUCAUUUUUAUCGUUACUUGAAUUGACUUCGUCUUCUGUGAUUUAUUUUUAGAUUUUAUCCUCUGAUGUGCACUUCCCAUCUUUUUAAAUUUUUCGCAUAGCUGGGAGUUCCU